AUCAUUCAGAAAUGGUAUACAGGAAAAUGACCUAUGAAUUGACAGAUAAUGUGGCUAAGUUUGUCUGUCAUUUCUUUAGGCCAAUAUUCUGUAUGACUGUGCUACUUCAA
This 110-nucleotide microRNA precursor is filed under the name Cebus imitator (Panamanian white-faced capuchin). RNAcentral describes it as "miRNA (ENSCCAG00000031984.1)". The stretch from base 19 to 92 matches the Rfam family "mir-192/215 microRNA precursor family". From Rfam's summary of the family: This family represents the human microRNA (miRNA) precursors mir-192 and mir-215. Animal miRNAs are transcribed as ~70nt precursors and subsequently processed by the Dicer enzyme to give a ~22nt product. Lineage: Eukaryota; Metazoa; Chordata; Mammalia; Primates; Cebidae. The record is from RNAcentral.